This 319-nucleotide ribosomal RNA is filed under the name uncultured eukaryote. RNAcentral's name for it is "partial 18S ribosomal RNA". It matches the Rfam family "Eukaryotic small subunit ribosomal RNA", at positions 1470 to 1796 of the family's 1831-position model. The record is from RNAcentral.
CCCGUAGAUGUUCUGGGCAGCACGCGCGCUACAAUGGUCUUCGCAAACGGAUGCAUUCUCGAAGGAGAAUGCCAAUCUUGGAAUCUAUGCCUUGGUCGGGACAGUUGCUUGCAAUUUUUCGACUCGAACCAGGAAUUCCUUGUAAUCGUGAUUCAUCACAUCACGAUGAAUACGUCCCUGCCCUUUGUACACACCGCCCGUCGCUCCUACCGAUCGAAGAGUUAGGUGAAUUGUUUUGAUCGAUAAGAUUUGACUAUGGUCAACUCUCGUUGUGAAAUUCUGUGAAUCUGACUGUUUAGAGGAAGGAAAAGUCGUAACA